Molecule: unclassified non-coding RNA, 312 nt
Filed under: Hevea brasiliensis (rubber tree)
Lineage: Eukaryota; Viridiplantae; Streptophyta; Magnoliopsida; Malpighiales; Euphorbiaceae
Source: RNAcentral
UUAAUGUCAAAGGUUACUUUGCUUUGUCAUUUUUGGACAAAUUCGAAUGGAAUAUGGGCUACAGUUCAAGGUUUGGUUUGCAUUAUGUAGACUACAAAAAUAACAUGACAAGACACCCCAAGAAUUCAGCUACUUGGUUCUGCUUGUUCCUGAAAAAUUGGCCAAUGGGAAGUCGAUGUCCAGUGAAUUCAUACAAUAUCGCAUAUAAUUAAAGAUGCCUCUGCUCAGUUCCAGUGACCUUGCGUUGUAAUAAAAUUUGUGGUGAUCCCAUGUAAUUUCCCUGUGGGAAUUCCAUGCCCUGUUGGUUUUCAG